UGUAGAACAUGUUUUGGAACUGCUGGCUUUUUGCAUAUCCAGGACUAGGUCUGCAGA
MicroRNA precursor from Bison bison bison, 57 nucleotides. The record is from Ensembl. Lineage: Eukaryota; Metazoa; Chordata; Mammalia; Artiodactyla; Bovidae.